Molecule: long non-coding RNA, 933 nt
Filed under: Homo sapiens (human)
Lineage: Eukaryota; Metazoa; Chordata; Mammalia; Primates; Hominidae
Description: HSALNT0299067
Source: RNAcentral
GAAGGGGGCAGGGAAAUGGGACGAUGACCAGAUGUGGCCCAUGGCAAGGCCGUGCAUUGUGAAGGGAGGAGGAGGGUCUGAGAUCCGGGAGCCCUGCAGAGAGUUUGCUGAAGAGUGAAGAAAGGACGGCGUUAGUAAUGGGAUGAGGGAUACUGGAGUCCGAAUUAACAUAGCACACAGAGAGAUAUUCAGGAAAAUACAUCAUAUCUUGCACUUGGGUGGAAAAGAGCAGAAAUCCUUGGUUAACAGGAUUAUACGCAAUGGUGCAGAAAGCAUUCUCUAAAGAAAAAUCAGAGAGGAAGAAACACUGCAUGGAGAAUCCAAGAAACACUCUAAGAAUUGAAGUUAAAAUGUCGGAGGAGGCCUCGUAUGUCUUCUUCUAGGAGGACUCUCAGCUGAUGUUGGUUUUUUUAGUCUGUAUGAGCGAUGGACAAGCUGUCACUACCCAUUAGAUUUUGGGUGGUCCCAGGGGACCAUCCCAAGUUUGAGGAAAGUUGGCAAUGGAAAAAGGAGCAUCUGAUAGGAGCAGUCAGUGAAGUCCUUGGUUCUUACAGAGGCAGAGAGCAUGCUGUUCAGGCGCAGAUGCUGGCGUUGGACACACCCAGAUGUCAGUGUGAAAAGAAAAUAAAAUUCCGGGACCCCAAACUCAAUACACCAAAGGGAAAAGGAAAGCUUGGAAGCUGAGUCACACAAAAAAUCGGUCUUUUGUUUCUAAAUAGACAGCUACAAGAUAAAAGGACACAUGUCUCUCCAGGUGGCCUCCCUCACCUUGACAGUGUGAAUUAACAGCUUAUCUUCAUGGACAUGGGACAAGAGGAGACUGGAAAUCAUCUCCCACACCACCCUCUCCAAGACAAAUUCAUAUUUAACUUCUACUUCUGCUCUGUUGACUUUAUCCUAUGUAAAGUACAGAUUUACUGAGCACGAGACAAA